UCCCUGGUGGCUCAGAUGGUAAAGAAUCUGCCUGCAAUGCAGGAGACCCAGGUUCUAUCCCUGGCUUUGAAA
Molecule: transfer RNA, 72 nt
Filed under: Bos taurus (domestic cattle)
Lineage: Eukaryota; Metazoa; Chordata; Mammalia; Artiodactyla; Bovidae
Also listed under: 4 other names
Rfam family: tRNA
About the family: Transfer RNA (tRNA) molecules are approximately 80 nucleotides in length. Their secondary structure includes four short double-helical elements and three loops (D, anti-codon, and T loops).
Source: Rfam by way of RNAcentral